AACGAACGCUGGCGGCAUGCCUAACACAUGCAAGUCGAACGAAGUCUUCGGACUUAGUGGCGCACGGGUGCGUAACGCGUGGGAAUCUGCCCUUGGGUGCGGAAUAACUUCUCGAAAGGGAUGCUAAUACCGCAUAAUGUCGUAAGACCAAAGAUUUAUCGCCCAAGGAUGAGCCCGCGUAAGAUUAGCUAGUUGGUGGGGUAAAAGCCUACCAAGGCGACGAUCUUUAGCUGGUCUGAGAGGAUGAUCAGCCACACUGGGACUGAGACACGGCCCAGACUCCUACGGGAGGCAGCAGUGGGGAAUAUUGGACAAUGGGCGAAAACCCUGAUCCAGCAAUAGCCGCGUGAGUGAAGAAGG
RNAcentral lists this ribosomal RNA (360 nucleotides) under uncultured bacterium. Its description in RNAcentral is "bacterial SSU rRNA". It matches the Rfam family "Bacterial small subunit ribosomal RNA", at positions 29 to 414 of the family's 1533-position model. The record is from RNAcentral.